AAAAAAUAAAUAAAUAAAAAAAUAAAAAAAGAGAAAAAGAGAAAAUAAUAUUGACCUUGAAAAAGACGAUAGUGUGAAAGCCGUCGUUGUAAAAAUUCGAGUAAACUGGAAUAUUACAGAUAAAGCCCAUGAGGUAUUAAAGUAAACAUCCACAACUCUCGAAAUCCUGCAAGGUAGGAUGAUUUUGAAUUAGUGAUUAGGUCUUAUCUGACUAAUUCUUAGAAACUACUAGUUUUAGCAGUAUUUUGGAGAAUCUAAAGCCUUAGCUUGUGUAUGGUCCAGACAUCACCGAGCACCCAAGUAUAAAUUAGCCUUACAACUCUCUAACGGAAACUUAAUGACUUCAACUUAAGUUGCAUACUGACCUAGGAUUUGGGCUGACUUAGUAAUUAAAACUUUGUGUGCUUUUGAAAUUCUUGGCAUUAAUGCAUUUGAAAUUAGAUUUUAUAAAAAAAUUGUUGCCCAGUAGAUACAACCCAAGAGGGGGGGUGAAUUGGGUCUUUUAAAACUUUUAUACUACUUCUAAAACUUUUCAAUUAAUUAUGCUAAGUUGUAUAGAUGCACAGUGGAAUUUAAACUUAGCAACAGUUUGAUUUAUUGAAUGAGACUUGAUUAAGUAAAUUAAAUAUGCUUGCAACUAAAGGAUGCGCAGAUAAGAGUUAAGUAAGCAAUUUAUCUAAGUAAGUAAGUGAGCAAGUUAGACAAUGACAAAAAGCAUCACAAACAC
This 727-nucleotide long non-coding RNA is filed under the name Phoenix dactylifera (date palm). Its description in RNAcentral is "long non-coding RNA (PDAC_LNC018472)". The record is from RNAcentral. Lineage: Eukaryota; Viridiplantae; Streptophyta; Magnoliopsida; Arecales; Arecaceae.